This 465-nucleotide ribosomal RNA is filed under the name uncultured bacterium. Its description in RNAcentral is "partial 16S ribosomal RNA". It matches the Rfam family "Bacterial small subunit ribosomal RNA", at positions 28 to 507 of the family's 1533-position model. The record is from RNAcentral.
GACGAACGCUGGCGGCGUGCUUAACACAUGCAAGUCGUACGGUAAGGCCCUUUCGGGGGUCCACGAGUGGCGAACGGGUGCGUAACACGUGAGUAACCUGCCCACAACUUUGGGAUAACGCUAGGAAACUGGUGCUAAUACUGGAUAUGUGCUCCUGCUGCAUGGUGGGGGUUCGAAAGCUCCGGCGGUUUUGGCUGUACUCGCGGCCUAUCAGCUUGUUGGUGGGGUAGUGUACUACCAAGGCGGCGACGGGUAGCCGGCCUGAGAGGGUGACCGGCCACAUUGAGACUGAGAUACGGCCCAGACUCCGACGGGAGGCAGCAGGGGGGAAGAUUGCACAAGGGGCGCAAGCCUGAUGCAGCAACGCCGCGUGCGGGAUGACGGCCUUCGGGUUGUAAACCGCUUUCAGCAGGGACGAAGCUUUUUGUGACGGUACCUGCAGAAGAAGCACCGGCUAACUACGUG